RNAcentral lists this ribosomal RNA (511 nucleotides) under uncultured bacterium. Its description in RNAcentral is "partial 16S ribosomal RNA". It matches the Rfam family "Bacterial small subunit ribosomal RNA", at positions 28 to 507 of the family's 1533-position model. The record is from RNAcentral.
GAUGAACGCUGGCGGCGUGCCUAAUACAUGCAAGUCGAACGAAACUUCUUUAUCACCGAGUGCUUGCACUCACCGAUAAAGAGUUGAGUGGCGAACGGGUGAGUAACACGUGGGCAACCUGCCAAAAGAGGGGGAUAACACUUGGAAACAGGUGCUAAUAUCGCAUAACCAUAGUUACCGCAUGGUAACUAUGUAAAAGGUGGCUAUACUACCGCUUUUGGAUGGGCCCGCGGCGCAUUAGCUAGUUGGUAGGGUAAAGGCUUACCAAGGCAAUGAUGCGUAGCCGAAUUGAGAGGUUGAUCGGCCACAUUGGGACUGAGACACGGCCCAAACUCCUACGGGAGGCAGCAGUAGGGAAUCUUCCACAAUGGGCGAAAGCCUGAUGGAGCAACGCCGCGUGGGUGAAGAAGGUCUUCGGAUCGUAAAACCCUGUUGUUAGAGAAGAAAGUGCGUGAGAGUAACUGUUCACGUUUCGACGGUAUCUAACCAGAAAGCCACGGCUAACUACGUG